RNAcentral lists this ribosomal RNA (253 nucleotides) under uncultured bacterium. RNAcentral's name for it is "partial 16S ribosomal RNA". It matches the Rfam family "Bacterial small subunit ribosomal RNA", at positions 524 to 776 of the family's 1533-position model. The record is from RNAcentral.
UACGAAGGGGGCUAGCGUUGUUCGGAAUUACUGGGCGUAAAGCGCGCGCAGGCGGCUAUCCAAGUCAGUGGUGAAAGCCCGGAGCUCAACUCCGGAACUGCCAUUGAAACUGUUUAGCUUGAGGAUGAGAGAGGUGAGUGGAAUUCCCAGUGUAGAGGUGAAAUUCGUAGAUAUUGGGAAGAACACCGGUGGCGAAGGCGGCAUCCUGGACCGGUAUUGACGCUGAGGCGCGAAAGCCAGGGGAGCAAACGGG